AACGAACGCUGGCGGCAUGCCUAACACAUGCAAGUCGAACGAGACCUUCGGGUCUAGUGGCACACGGGUGCGUAACGCGUGGGAACCUGCCCUUAGGUUCGGAAUAACUCCCCGAAAGGGGUGCUAAUACCGGAUAAUGUCUUCGGACCAAAGAUUUAUCGCCUUUGGAUGGGCCCGCGUUGGAUUAGCUAGUUGGUAGGGUAAAAGCCUACCAAGGCGACGAUCCAUAGCUGGUCUGAGAGGAUGAUCAGCCACACUGGGACUGAGACACGGCCCAGACUCCUACGGGAGGCAGCAGUGGGGAAUAUUGGACAAUGGGCGAAAGCCUGAUCCAGCAAUGCCGCGUGAGGGAUGAAGGCCUUAGGGUUGUAAAGCUCUUUUACCCGGGAUGAUAAUGACAGGACCGGGAGAAUAAGCUCCGGCUAACUCCG
RNAcentral lists this ribosomal RNA (431 nucleotides) under uncultured bacterium. Its description in RNAcentral is "partial 16S ribosomal RNA". It matches the Rfam family "Bacterial small subunit ribosomal RNA", at positions 29 to 505 of the family's 1533-position model. The record is from RNAcentral.